Molecule: ribosomal RNA, 232 nt
Filed under: uncultured bacterium
Lineage: Bacteria
Description: partial 16S ribosomal RNA
Rfam family: Bacterial small subunit ribosomal RNA
Source: RNAcentral
CGGACGGGUGAGUAAUGUAUGGGGAUCUGCCUGAUGGCGGGGGAUAACUACUGGAAACGGUAGCUAAUACCGCAUAAUGUCUGCGGACCAAAGCGGGGGACCUCCGGGCCUCGCGCCAUCAGAUGAACCCAUACGGGAUUAGCUUGUAGGUAAGGUAACGGCUUACCUAGGCGACGAUCCCUAGCUGGUCUGAGAGGAUGAUCAGCCACACUGGGACUGAGACACGGCCCAG